AUUGAACGCUGGCGGCAGGCCUAACACAUGCAAGUCGAGCGGAUGAAGGGAGCUUGCUCCUGGAUUCAGCGGCGGACGGGUGAGUAAUGCCUAGGAAUCUGCCUGGCAGUGGGGGAUAACGUCCGGACACGGGCGCUAAUACCGCAUCCGUCCUGAGGGAGAAAGUGGGGGAUCUUCGGACCUCACGCUAUCAGAUGAGCCUAGGUCGGAUUAGCUAGUUGGUGGGGUAAAGGCCUACCAAGGCGACGAUCCGUAACUGGUCUGAGAGGAUGAUCAGUCACACUGGAACUGAGACACGGUCCAGACUCCUACGGGAGGCAGCAGUGGGGAAUAUUGGACAAUGGGCGAAAGCCUGAUCCAGCCAUGCCGCGUGAGUGAAGAAGGUCUUCGGAUUGUAAAGCACUUUAAGUUGGGAGGAAGGACAGUAAGUUAAUACCUGGCUGUUUUGACGUUACCAACAGAAUAAGCACCGGCUAACUUCGUG
Molecule: ribosomal RNA, 484 nt
Filed under: uncultured bacterium
Lineage: Bacteria
Description: partial 16S ribosomal RNA
Rfam family: Bacterial small subunit ribosomal RNA
Source: RNAcentral